AUAUCAUGAUGAUGAUGAUGAUGAUGAUGAUGACGAUCAUGGCACGAUGACAGAAAGCAUGUAAAUGAUCCAAAUCAUCAUCGUCAUCAUCCUCAUGU
RNAcentral lists this microRNA precursor (98 nucleotides) under Bigelowiella natans CCMP2755. RNAcentral describes it as "miRNA EPrBNAG00000013154". The record is from RNAcentral. Lineage: Eukaryota; Cercozoa; Chlorarachniophyceae.